Molecule: ribosomal RNA, 460 nt
Filed under: uncultured bacterium
Lineage: Bacteria
Description: partial 16S ribosomal RNA
Rfam family: Bacterial small subunit ribosomal RNA
Source: RNAcentral
CCUACGGGUGGCAGCAGUGAGGAAUAUUGGUCAAUGGACGAGAGUCUGAACCAGCCAAGUAGCGUGAAGGAUGACUGCCCUAUGGGUUGUAAACUUCUUUUAUAUGGGAAUAAAAUGUUCCACGUGUGGGAUUUUGUAUGUACCAUAUGAAUAAGGAUCGGCUAACUCCGUGCCAGCAGCCGCGGUAAUACGGAGGAUCCGAGCGUUAUCCGGAUUUAUUGGGUUUAAAGGGAGCGUAGGUGGAUUGUUAAGUCAGUUGUGAAAGUUUUCGGCUCAACCGUAAAAUUGCAGUUGAAACUGGCAGUCUUGAGUACAGUAGAGGUGGGCGGAAUUCGUGGUGUAGCGGUGAAAUGCUUAGAUAUCACGAAGAACUCCGAUUGCGAAGGCAGUUCACUGGACUGCAACUGACACUGAGGCUCGAAAGUGUGGGUAUCAAACAGGAUUAGAUACCCGUGUAGUC